Molecule: long non-coding RNA, 363 nt
Filed under: Brassica napus (rape)
Lineage: Eukaryota; Viridiplantae; Streptophyta; Magnoliopsida; Brassicales; Brassicaceae
Description: long non-coding RNA (BNAP_LNC019344)
Source: RNAcentral
UGAGGGAAUUGAUAAACCAUGAAUUUUACCAGCUUUUAGCCAUGUUAUAUAAGUAUUUUAGAGUCUGUUUACUAUGUUUUGAAGUUUUUUUAAAGUAUUUAUUGGUCCAUGAGUGUCUUGGAGCAAUGUGGUGAUUUUGGAGCAUUUUGAAGAUAAAGUUAGAAGAAACUCGUAGAUCGAACCAGCCGAGAGUCGACAUCAGAGUCAAACGUCGAUCGACAAACAUCACAUGUCAUCGAUCCACAGUGUGGCGCAAGAAGCAUGCCACAUGUCAUGACCAUCUUAUAGUCCAAAUUCCAAAACAAUUACAGAACUACCCCUGACCAACUUUAACCUAAUAUUAAUGUGCUCUGCAAUUGUCUU